GGUCCCGCCUGCCCUGUGACCCCCAGUUUAACGGCCGCGGUAUUUUGACCGUGCAAAGGUAGCGCAAUCACUUGUCCCUUAAAUGAGGACCUGUAUGAAUGGCACAACGAGGGCUUAACUGUCUCCUUUCCCCGGUCAAUGAAAUUGAUCUUCCCGUGCAGAAGCGGGAAUUCUAACAUAAGACGAGAAGACCCUAUGGAGCUUUAGACUCCAGAAUAGACCAUGUCAGCUAUUCCCGUUAAACAUAAUAGCAACUAUUGAGCCUCUAUUCUCUGUCUUUGGUUGGGGCGACCACGGGGAAGAAAAAAUCCCCCAUGUGGACCGGGAGCACCAAUCUCACUCCCACAACCACGAGCCACAGCUCUAAUGCGCAGAACUUCUGACCAUAUAGAUCCGGCAACUAGCCGAUCAACGGACCGAGUUACCCUAGGGAUAACAGCGCAAUCCCCUUUAAGAGUCCCUAUCGACAAGGGGGUUUACGACCUCGAUGUUGGAUCAAGACAUCCUAAUGGUGCAGCCGCUAUUAAGGGUUCGUUUGUUCAACGAUUAAAGUCUU
Molecule: ribosomal RNA, 556 nt
Filed under: Moolgarda sp. JDD-2011b
Lineage: Eukaryota; Metazoa; Chordata; Actinopteri; Mugiliformes; Mugilidae
Also listed under: 1 other name
Description: partial 16S ribosomal RNA
Rfam family: Bacterial large subunit ribosomal RNA
Source: RNAcentral